CCAAGCGACAUGUACGAUCGA
Molecule: small nuclear RNA, 21 nt
Filed under: Arabidopsis thaliana (thale cress)
Lineage: Eukaryota; Viridiplantae; Streptophyta; Magnoliopsida; Brassicales; Brassicaceae
Description: snRNA_16773
Source: RNAcentral